GGGGAUAUUGCACAAUGGAGGAAACUCUGAUGCAGCAACGCCGCGUGAGGGAAGAAGGUCUUCGGAUUGUAAACCUCAGUAGUCAGGGACGAAAGAAAUGACGGUACCUGAAGAGUAAGCUCCGGCUAACUACGUGCCAGCAGCCGCGGUAAUACGUAGGGAGCGAGCGUUGUCCGGAUUUACUGGGUGUAAAGGGUGCGUAGGCGGGAUAGCAAGUCAGACGUGAAAUACCGAGGCUUAACUUCGGGGCUGCGUUUGAAACUGUUAUUCUUGAGUGAAGUAGAGGCAGGCGGAAUUCCUAGUGUAGCGGUGAAAUGCGUAGAUAUUAGGAGGAACACCUGUGACGAAGGCGGCCUGCUGGGCUUUAACUGACGCUGAGGCACGAAAGCGUGGGUA
RNAcentral lists this ribosomal RNA (396 nucleotides) under uncultured bacterium. RNAcentral's name for it is "bacterial SSU rRNA". It matches the Rfam family "Bacterial small subunit ribosomal RNA", at positions 357 to 767 of the family's 1533-position model. The record is from RNAcentral.